GAUGAAGAACGCAGCGAAAUGCGAUAAGUAGUGUGAAUUGCAGAAUUCAGUGAAUCAUCGAAUCUUUGAACGCACAUUGCGCCCCUUGGUAUUCCAUGGGGCAUGCCUGUUCGAGCGUCAUUUGUACCUUCAAGCUCUGCUUGGUGUUGGGUUUUUGUCUCGCCUCUGCGUGUAGACUCGCCUCAAAACAAUUGGCAGCCGGCGUAUUGAUUUCGGAGCGCAGUACAUCUCGCGCUUUGCACUCAUAACGACGACGUCCAAAAGUACAUUUUUACACUCUUGACCUCGGAUCAGGUAGGGAUACCCGCUGAACUUAAGCAUAUCAAUAAGCGGAGGA
This 337-nucleotide unclassified non-coding RNA is filed under the name soil metagenome. RNAcentral describes it as "partial contains 5.8S ribosomal RNA, internal transcribed spacer 2, and large subunit ribosomal RNA". The stretch from base 1 to 120 matches the Rfam family "5.8S ribosomal RNA", at positions 35 to 154 of the family's 154-position model. The record is from RNAcentral.